Molecule: long non-coding RNA, 1006 nt
Organism: Micropterus dolomieu (smallmouth bass)
Lineage: Eukaryota; Metazoa; Chordata; Actinopteri; Centrarchiformes; Centrarchidae
Exons: 3
Source: RefSeq, a predicted model, not a curated record
UAGUAGUUUGAGCUUUCUCUUAUUUUAUACCUUUUCCAUUCAAAAAGAAACUCAAACAAACUCAGAUUUGAGUUCAGGAAGCGCUCCUAUCCACAUGUUCUUAAGAAAUAAUUUAUCUUAAAUUAUUUAAGUUGUUGAUGUGAUCAGAGAAUUAGCUCGGAUGAACUUGAAACAGAAAACGCCAUAUGUAUGCGAUUUAUAACGAAAUAAUGUUGUUUUUUUUGUAUAAAUCUUUUUGUUCCCUCCCUCUACUACUACAUGUUACUCAAAACUGCCUUAUAGCUUUUAUCAUGGAGCUAAUCAUUGUAAUAUGUUUUAUCAUGUUUCAGAGAUGCACCAGGACAAUCAUCAACAAUUCAGCCAGGACAGGUUAUAAGGCAGACUGUGGCAGCAUGACAUUUCUUGCUUUCAGUGUUGUUGUUUAAGACAUUUUAAUCUGUUUUUCAGAUAGUAAUAUCUGAUGCUGAGGAUCUGGAUCCACCUGAAACAAAUCCAGAAAAACCGUCUUGCUACAGUAAAUACACAGACCUGUUUUCACCAAAUGUUGAGCAAGAAGACGAAGAGCCGGUUGCUGUCAAUGUGACGAAUUUUCAACACACAGCAAUGGAGGAGACGGGCAUUACAUUACCUGACAUCGUGGCAAACCUGUCACUUCCUAUUGAUCACAAAAAAGUCAGCCGGUUCAACAUCUCAAGGGCUAACUUUUGGGAUGGGGCAGUCAGAGGUUUCAAGCGUACAACCUAUUCUGAAACCUGUGACAUGCUGGUGAAAUUUACUGAUGAUACUGGUGUUCUGGAAGAGGGAAUUGACACUGGUGGUCCAAGACGAGAGUUUUUGACUCUACUGAUGAAACACCUAAAAGACCGGCCCAUUUUUGAUGGACCAGAAGGACAUCGGUUCAGUUGUGCAUGGAGGUCCAGGGCCCCAUUUCCUGUCGGAAGAUCUUGUACAUUAUCUUGCAGGCCAGCCUUCAUUCAAAGCAACAAAUAACUUAAUAACUGAUGAA